This 374-nucleotide long non-coding RNA is filed under the name Malus domestica (apple). RNAcentral describes it as "long non-coding RNA (MDOM_LNC021054)". Lineage: Eukaryota; Viridiplantae; Streptophyta; Magnoliopsida; Rosales; Rosaceae. The record is from RNAcentral.
GAAUCCAUCUUUAAUUAGGAAUCCUUCUUGGACUAGGAUUUCAUCUUCAAUUUGGCUCUUUUCCUACUUCAACUAGGAAUCCUUGCUCAAGUAGGAAUCAUCAUCUUCAAAUCUUCAUUUUCGUCCAAACCCUUGGCUCCAAAUAUAUGAUAUCCAAUCCAAGCUCCAUUUUGCUCCAAAAGGCUCCAAAUUGCAUCUUUUUAUGUAAUAUGCCUUUAAAACCUGAAAACACAAGAAACUAGCUUAAAAGACUACUUUAAACUAAGAAAACAUAACGAAAAUGCAUAAGAACUAGUUAACUAAGGCGCAUAAAUAUGCUCCUAUCAGCAACGCAGAUGUGCAAUUUGACAAAUGCUGACACAUCUCGGUAAAGC